Molecule: non-coding RNA, 69 nt
Organism: Bos taurus (domestic cattle)
Lineage: Eukaryota; Metazoa; Chordata; Mammalia; Artiodactyla; Bovidae
Source: Rfam
CCUGGUGGCUCAGAUGGUAAAGCAUCUGCCUACAAUGCAGGAGACCCAGGUUCAAUCCCUGGGUCAGGA